This 465-nucleotide ribosomal RNA is filed under the name uncultured bacterium. RNAcentral's name for it is "partial 16S ribosomal RNA". It matches the Rfam family "Bacterial small subunit ribosomal RNA", at positions 338 to 795 of the family's 1533-position model. The record is from RNAcentral.
CCUACGGGUGGCAGCAGUGGGGAAUAUUGCGCAAUGGGCGAAAGCCUGACGCAGCGACGCCGCGUGAGGGAUGAAGGUCUUCGGAUCGUAAACCUCUGUCAGCAGGGAAGAACGGUCACUGUGCUAAUCAGCAGUGAAUUGACGGUACCUGCACAGGAAGCACCGGCUAACGCCGUGCCAGCAGCCGCGGUAAUACGGAGGGUGCGAGCGUUAAUGGGAAGUACUGGGCGUAAAGCGCGCGUAGGCGGUAUGGCAAGUCAAGGGUGAAAUCCCCGGGCUCAACGUGGGAACUGCCUUUGAAACUGUCAAACUGGAGUGUGGGAGAGGAUAGUGGAAUUCCAGGUGUAGGAGUGAAAUCCGUAGAUAUCUGGAGGAACAUCAGUGGCGAAGGCGACCAUCUGGCACAUAACUGACGCUGAGGAGCGAAAGCGUGGGUAGCAAACAGGAUUAGAUACCCUUGUAGUA